ACCCCAGUCAACAGUCUUUUCCUCCAGUGCUGGGAAGAAAAGGUUAAAAGGGGCCGUCUUUCAAGCGCUCUUCAUCGUCUGUGCACCUGCAUAAUUUAUGGGCUUGUUACUGUAAUCAAAAAUUCUUAUUUAUUUGGAGGGGUUGUUGGGGUAGAGGCAAGAGGGAAGAAGGAAAAAAGAACACACACACACACACAUAUAGAUACACACACCCACACACACACAACUUCCCUGUAAGUCUCUUGCUUUUCAUGUGAAACGAGAUGCCGCUGUGUUGUCCCCAGGGUGGGGUUCUACAGCACACUCCAACGCACACACACACACACACACACACACACACAAACAAAAAAAAAACACGCUCACACAUAAACUUAUUGAAGUCUGAGCACAAACACACACACACACACACAUCAUGCAUAUUAAAAUUCUCCAACUUUAUGAUGGAUGUACGCUGCCAGUAUGCUGCCUGUCCCCCGGGGUGAGGUCCAACCACACACACAAACCCACAUACACCAACAUAAAGCAAACUUAAUGAUUAGUCUUCGUACGGUGCCACACACACAAGUAGAGUCAAAGCCUCCUGCAUAACAAGAACCACAAUCUGCAUAGUGAACAUACUUUCUCAAAGUUGGGCAGCUUGAUCAGGACGUGAUGCUGCUCUUACUGUUGCAAGCACAGGCAUGUGAAGGAAGCUUCUACUCAUAAUGAACAAACACUCAUCCGUUCCAACAGUUCAUGUGUUGAAUGAUUCUCAGUGAGAAUGUUUAUCUGGAAUAGCUCGGAGUGUGUGCGGUCUCAAGGAAGCAGGCCUGUCGAUCCACUCUGUGUCCUUAAGGAGUCUACUUGACCAACUAAAAUCUUAUGUGGUUACAGUUCUUACAGCAAGCAAUCUGUCAUUAUGGCAAAGAAGACUGUAUAAAGGGACUGGACUGUUCUCCUUAUUCUUUUAAUUUGGAUGAAUGUGCGUGUGUGCAUGUGUGUGUGUGUGUGUGUGUGUAUGAGAGUGCAGUGUACACAUGUGUGCGUGUUUACGAACGUUUCUACUCAAAUUGCUGCAGCUGAUCCCGGUGAUGAGCAAAUAGAUGGGCUUGCACCACUGGAAUCUUGCGUAACACCACAGAAGAAAUUUUCUCCUACAGCCACAGCCACAGGACUGCUAAUUUGUGGAAACGGCCAUCAGUUCCCGAAACUGCUGGCCCCAAACCUCCUGCGCUGAGGCAGUGCAAAGUGGAUGAAGACGGGAAAUUCUCAUCUGUUUGAUGGAUAAUUUGAAAAGAGCAUUUAAGAUUGAAGGAGAGAGGGAAUGAAAUAUUGCUUGCCCUCCAUUCUGAAUCCCAUUGCUCCAUUGCUUUAAGAAUUUGGUGUGUGUGUGUGUGUGUGUGUGUGUGUGUGUGUGUGUGUGUGUGUGUGUGUGCCUUUGAAACUCAAAAGCUUUAUACACGAACAAAGGCAAAACCAUCUGAAGUUCCACAAUAGAAUCCUUUAUUGUGAUUUUUUUUUCUUUUGCACAUACACACAGACACAUACUUUCAUAUAUUUUCACACAUGCAGACACAAACAGACUCACAAACACACUCACACAUACAUAUCAAUCCCCUAGCUUCCUGCAGUGACACACCUCCUCAGCAUCCUCCACUCCACCUUACCAGCCUACACUUCCACUCAUAUUCUGUUCCAAACCCCAUGGGGUUCUUUCUCCCCCUCUCUAAUGAAGGGGUGCGGCUGUGGUGUCUAUGGAACGUCAGGAAUGCCCUAUUCAGCUAGUGGUGUCCCACAGGGCUUGAUGACGGAGCUCUGGCGGAACGAAAAAGGACAAGGACAUUGCUGCUGACAGGGUAUGAGUGUGCAAGUGAGAGUGUCCAGUCCUCCUCUGUGUAACACAGCACGGUCUCUUAAUCCUGCAUAUCUGUGUAUUUGUGUGGGAUGUAUACUCUGGGCUGGGAUGGUAGAGGUUAAUGUAUUUAGGUCCCCUUCACUCUAGCAUGGCACCAGCAUGGGGUGGUAAUUGAUUCUCUGUGUGCCAUUAGUCUUUGAGACAGAGAUGCGCCAACGAGGGAGGGUGCUGUCACUUAGAACCUGGCAACGUGCCCAGCGCAUACACAUACCAAUAAACACAUGCGCAUACGCAAAGUAAGAAACACACCCACACUGUUAGCGUCGGCCAUCAAGGUCUAGCGUGUGAAGGGCAAACUAUUAACAUAUAUGCAAAACAUGCAUACACAUUAAACUAAAGGACCCAUACACUAAUGUUAACACAUAUCUACAACACACAGCAGACAAAGUCCAGCGCUUCUCUUGAUCGUAUUAGUGCUAACGAGAAGCUGCGGCACAGCCUGUAUGCUAAUGCUAAUCUGACAAGCCCGCCUAAGGCAGAGACAGGAGUCAGGCGCCAUCACACACUCAUCAUCACCUGGUGUCUCUUGCCAUCCCUCGACCUCAUUAGCACCAUUCCUCUCUUUAUCAUUAGCACGACUUCUUGGAGUUGAUGGAACAUCAGUGUCAUUAGAGGCACG
This is a long non-coding RNA of Ictalurus punctatus (channel catfish), 2513 nucleotides long. NCBI's taxonomy places the organism in Eukaryota, Metazoa, Chordata, Actinopteri, Siluriformes, Ictaluridae. The record is from Ensembl.